Caenorhabditis elegans is the source of this 148-nucleotide non-coding RNA. The record is from Ensembl. NCBI's taxonomy places the organism in Eukaryota, Metazoa, Nematoda, Chromadorea, Rhabditida, Rhabditidae.
CCAACAUUCCAGAGGUCGACCACCAAAUUGUUUGAAACUAACAAGCACUGCCAUCAUAAUAAGAAACGAUGAUGUGUAAAAGUAGGAGAGCCUGUCCACAAAAUCGUCGUCCUUCCGGUAGUGCAGGAAGGAGAGCGCACUGCAAAUA